UACGGGGGGGGCAAGCGUUGUUCGGAAUUACUGGGCGUAAAGGGCUCGUAGGUGGCCAACUAAGUCAGACGUGAAAUCCCUCAGCUUAACUGGGGAACUGCGUCUGAUACUGGAUGGCUUGAGUUUGGGAGAGGGACGCGGAAUUCCAGGUGUAGCGGUGAAAUGCGUAGAUAUCUGGAGGAACACCGGUGGCGAAGGCGGCAUCCUGGACCGGCAUUGACGCUGAGGAGCGAAAGCCAGGGGAGCAAACGGG
Molecule: ribosomal RNA, 253 nt
Filed under: uncultured bacterium
Lineage: Bacteria
Description: partial 16S ribosomal RNA
Rfam family: Bacterial small subunit ribosomal RNA
Source: RNAcentral